Diabrotica virgifera virgifera (western corn rootworm) is the source of this 1156-nucleotide long non-coding RNA. RefSeq lists it as uncharacterized. Lineage: Eukaryota; Metazoa; Arthropoda; Insecta; Coleoptera; Chrysomelidae. The transcript is spliced from 2 exons. The record is from RefSeq and is a predicted model, not a curated record.
UUGCCUAGAUUUUUAAUAAGUAUUUGGAUGAUGUUGGUAACUUUUGGGGAAUUCAGGGUCUAUAAGUUGGUUCGCCUGGCGAUGCCGACAUCCGGCUGGCGUGUUUGUCAUUUCGGCAACCGCAGCUGUUCGUCACUUAAAUCUCGUCUUUUGUUGAGUCAACAAGUCUCCAGUGGCCAUUGGAAGAAUUUACCUUUUGGUUGAAAUAUUUUAGUAGAAGAUUAGUUUAUGUUGGAAGGAGUUAUUUUGUUUUGGGUUUUGUGGAGUGUUUUGAGGAGAAGAGUUUUUGGUUUCCAAUACUUUUUUGAAGAACAAUGGCCACUGGAGAAAAGAAGAUUAAGUCACCUUUUUAUUUUUUGGAAAUGGAAUAAUCAAUCAUUUUGGGGUUUCUUUUGGUGGAUCGGGAUUAUUUUCUGUUUGUUGUUUUGGAAUCGACAUUGAUUUUUACCAGUACUUGUAAGCACCUCCUCGUCUGACAUCCGCAUUGUGGUCGAGUAUCUCCCUAGGAUUGGAAAACCGGAGGAUACCUAUCUGGCUCUCCCAUCAUCAACCUCUCCAGGAGUUUGGAGAAGCCAUAGUCCCUACUUUUGUAGAAGCGACAGGUUUUUUAUAAAAUUUACAUUUUCAAUUCUUUUAAAUAAUUUCUUGCAAUUUUAAUAUUUUUUUUCAGUAACUUAUAACAUUAAUAAUCAUAUAAAUUCAUUUUUCUAAAAUCAACUAACUUUAUAAUAUUCAAUAAUUUUUUUCCAACAAAUUUAAUCUUUUACUGUUCGUAUCAUUCUUUUAAAAUAGUCCGGGAGUUAUAAGCUAUAUGUUAAGGUGUUGUAUACAAUAUCUAGGGUUAUAAUUCCUAUUUAAUAACCUUUAUUUCAGUUAACAGGUAUUGUACUCAGGUUUAUCGCUUUAGGUCAGAUACUGGAUUGUCAGCCAAUACUGUGAUCAAUAUCAAUAUAAUAUUUUUGCUUAGGUAGAUAACUUGUGAUUCGAAAUAACUGUCUUGGUAUAAUUAAUUAAAUUUUUGUUUUUAUUUUUUUUGUACUGUAAAUCUCAGUGUCGAUAAGAGCGUAUCCUUCUAGUACGUCAGGAAUUAGCUAGUUUGUAUAAAAUUGUAUAUAGGGGUUAUAGGUAUUUUUUUUCAUUAAAUUUGUUGGUUGUA